GGCUGGUCCGAAGGCAGUGAGUUGCCUCAAUUGAUUGUUCAUAGUAAGUUACAGACAGAACUCCUUGUUCUACUUUUCCCCCCGUUCUCAUUACUGCAUUUGACUAGUCUAAG
Molecule: Y RNA, 113 nt
Filed under: Prolemur simus (greater bamboo lemur)
Lineage: Eukaryota; Metazoa; Chordata; Mammalia; Primates; Lemuridae
Description: Y RNA (ENSPSMG00000017375.1)
Rfam family: Y RNA
About the family: Y RNAs are components of the Ro ribonucleoprotein particle (Ro RNP), in association with Ro60 and La proteins. The Y RNAs and Ro60 and La proteins are well conserved, but the function of the Ro RNP is not known.
Source: Rfam by way of RNAcentral